RNAcentral lists this ribosomal RNA (207 nucleotides) under uncultured bacterium. RNAcentral's name for it is "partial 16S ribosomal RNA". It matches the Rfam family "Bacterial small subunit ribosomal RNA", at positions 524 to 729 of the family's 1533-position model. The record is from RNAcentral.
UACGAAGGGGGCUAGCGUUGUUCGGAUUUACUGGGCGUAAAGCGCACGUAGGCGGAUCGUUAAGUCGGGGGUGAAAUCCUGGAGCUCAACUCCAGAACUGCCUUCGAUACUGGCGAUCUUGAGUCCGGAAGAGGUGAGUGGAACUCCUAGUGUAGAGGUGGAAUUCGUAGAUAUUAGGAAGAACACCUGUGGCGAAAGCGGCUGCAC